AAUGAUUGGCUAAAUAGCUCAAAUCGACGAGCAGGAUUAGCCAAUCAGAAAGUCGUAACGUUGAGGGGCGGGGUUUGAUGAAAACAGCCAAAACGAAUGUGAACUAAUGCUAAGCUUGCGAGACCAGAAAGGAAAAAGAUAAGUUUUAUAACUUGGCUCUGUUUUAGACUUUUAGUACCAUGUAAACGCUCGGGAACGCAAAAUACAUCGAACAGUUUAAUCACAAAGUUUUUUUCUCGGCAUUAUGGGGACCAGAUCGAGUCGGUUACAAGAGGAAUCGGUGUGCGGACCGCUGGAGAAGGACGGCGGCGUAAAGCGAGAGCCUUUUCGGCGGAUCCGCAGCUCCAGGCCCAGCAGCCUCGCGCUCGAUUUCUCCUCCAGCUUUGACCGCGAUUCAGACGCGAAACAGAGCCGCAGCGAAGAAGGCAGUGACUCGGACACCGGCCACCGCGUUCCCCCGACGGACAGCGAUAACGGUACCGGCCGCACUAUUGAACCGGAGAUCGAUAACGAUGACAACAGUCCCGGAAGCCCCGAGCGCUUCUCCUCACAGGAACCAGCGGGCAGUGUCGCGCUUCGGGCCUCAGCUGAGCGACUAGCCGGUGCACGGAGACACUCGUCCGGGCGGAACAGCACUGCGAGAUCGGCGCGGGUCCGGACCGCCAGACCAGUUUCAGAGGCGUGGAUAGGGCUAUACAGAGUCAGACACAGCACAGUGCUAUGUCCGUUCUGCACCAGGACGUUCCCCGGAGGUCGUAUCGAGGAGCACCUUCUCACCUGUCUCACCUCUCCACCUCUGCCUUAUAACACUGAUGUUUUGAGUAAAGACAGUGGAGAGUGUUCCAUUUGCCUGGAGGAGCUGCUGCUGGGGGACACCAUCGCUCGCCUCGCCUGUCUCUGUGUCUACCACAAAAAGUGUAUUGACUCAUGGAGCUCAGUGAAGCCCUGCUGCCCUGAGCAUCCUUUCAACUGACCGUGGUUUCCUCUCUGACUGCUCAACUCAGGUCAGAUAACACGCAGCCACCAACAACAUUUACAACACCACCUUCAACCACCUGAGAAAAGACUUUAACGUGUGGAUUAGAGCUGAGCAAUGAAUCAAAUUAUUGCACAGCUCGAGUGUGCAGUGAAAUUCCCAGAUGUGUUUCAAUACUCUCUGUAAAGUACCCAGGAAACACUUCCAUGUGACUCCAUGCUGCUGCUCACUCUGUCAGCGUGCUACAGUGCGGGUGGAGGAGGACUGAAAUGAGUUGCUGUUUUACUUUGCACCAUUACAGGACACCGCUCGCUGUGAGACACUAAAACAACUAGAUAAGGCCUAAAGACGAGCAGAACUGUUUCACACUCAGAAAGGAACAAGCCUUGUGUGUGUUGGUUGGAGAUUUAUUUUAUGAGCUAAAGGAGUUUAUUUUAUUAUCUGUAAAUGCUACUUACGUUGCACUGGAGAUGAAAACGGCAUUUAAUUUUUUUAUAAGUGCAGUUCGGACCUUCAGCCUCGCCUCAUUACACACUUUGAAUGCUUUAGGUUACAGUGACUUUUUUUUUUUUUGGCUGGUAUUUAAUUGGCUGUGCCAUCGUGUAAGGGGGUGGGGUGGGGGAGGUUAUGGUUUGGGGUUAUGGUGACUUAUGACUCUGAUUAGUCAGAAAGUGGACUUCACACACUAUCUAAGAAAGUGAAAAUGUUUUACUUCCUCUUGAGCUUUACCCUCACAUUAAGGCAUCUCUUACACUCACACACACACAGGCUUUACAGAGUUUUUGCUUUUUUCAAUAUGACCAUUUUAAACACUUACAUUUAUUAAACACAGAAAUGCUCUGUUUAUUAUAAUUUUAAUAAUAAUAAUAGCAUCAAAUCAGAUCUCACAGUGCUUUACAUUAAAGUCUGCCUGUUUUGUUAGUAUUAUUAUUAUUAUUAUUAUUAUUAUCAGCCUCGCUCUGGAUUUUUGCCAAACGUGGUGUUCUAAACAUAUUUAUAAUAAACUUCACUUCUGUAGCAUUUUUAUUGCGAACAUAUUAGUGUGUGUUUCAGCCUUUCAGGUGUGAUGUCAUCAGUACUGUUCUAAUCAUCAUCAUAGCUAUAAGCGCUUCGAGAUGAUUUUCCUCUGGGGCACAGAGAACCCUGUGUGUGUGUGGGGCAGUGUUUUAAGGCAGUGUGAUUUCACAAUCCUGAAAUACACAUUGGUGACAAAGGUGAUGAUGAUGUGAUUUACAGUGAGUGAAACGCUGACACAUCUCAAAACCUCAUAAUUAAAUGUUUUUUAUAUCUACACUGUGUGAUGUUACAUGUUGGUGUGAGUUAAAAUUUGGAUCAGAGUUGUCUGCACACACGCACACACUGUUUAUUUAUUACAGUGUAAACAUGUUCACCUGUUUCAUUUUGUACGUCUGUAAAGAAAAAUGGUUUUGUAUGUAUUUUUACAAUAAAGAUGUUUAAGAUUGGGACCUUGA
This is an RNA transcript of Pangasianodon hypophthalmus (striped catfish), 2448 nucleotides long. RefSeq lists it as uncharacterized. Lineage: Eukaryota; Metazoa; Chordata; Actinopteri; Siluriformes; Pangasiidae. The transcript has 6 exons. The record is from RefSeq and is a predicted model, not a curated record.